AGAGUUAAAUAGUACGUAAAAUUGUUGAAAGGGAAACGAUUAAAGUCAGUCAUGCUUUCAGGGAAUCAAUAUGGUGGCAUGUUUUCUUCCUUGUACACAUCCUUGCUUAGCAGGUUAGCAUCAAUUUCAAUUGUUAUUAAAGAACCGGGGGAAUGUGGCUUCUUCAGGAGUGUUAUAGACCUUGGUAGAUGAGGUGAUCAGGAUUGAGAAUUACAGCGAAUGCUUUUUUGGCUAGUCACCUGGUUUCUGAUAGUCACCUUGCUUUCGAUAGCUUGCUACGUUAGUGAGAUUUGAUUGUCUAGAUGUUAGAGUAAUCAUAAAUUCGCUAAGGAUGCUGACGUAAUGACUUUAAACGA
Molecule: unclassified non-coding RNA, 356 nt
Filed under: uncultured Glomeromycotina
Lineage: Eukaryota; Fungi; Glomeromycota
Description: sequence contains 28S rRNA gene
Source: RNAcentral